GACGAACGCUGGCGGCGCGCUUAACACAUGCAAGUCGAACGUGAAGCCGGGGCUUGCCCCGGUGGAAAGUGGCGAACGGGUGCGUAACACGUGAGCAACCUGCCCCGAAGACUGGGAUAACACCGGGAAACCGGUGCUAAUACCGGAUGCCCUCUUCUGAUCGCAUGGUCGGAUGAGGAAAUGGAUUCCGCUUCGGGAUGGGCCUCG
This 207-nucleotide ribosomal RNA is filed under the name uncultured bacterium. Its description in RNAcentral is "partial 16S ribosomal RNA". It matches the Rfam family "Bacterial small subunit ribosomal RNA", at positions 28 to 233 of the family's 1533-position model. The record is from RNAcentral.